GACGAACGCUGGCGGCGUGCUUAACACAUGCAAGUCGAGCGGUAAGGCUCUUCGGGGUACACGAGCGGCGAACGGGUGAGUAACACGUGGGUGACCUGCCUCUAGCUCUGGGAUAAGCCUGGGAAACUGGGUCUAAUACCGGAUAUGACUCCACGGCGCAUGUUGUGGGGUGGAAAGCCUUGUGUGGCUAGAGAUGGGCCCGCGGCCUAUCAGCUUGUUGGUGGGGNGAUGGCCUACCAAGGCGACGACGGGUAGCCGGCCUGAGAGGGCGACCGGCCACACUGGGACUGAGACACGGCCCAGACUCCUACGGGAGGCAGCAGUGGGGAAUCUUGCGCAAUGGGCGAAAGCCUGACGCAGCGACGCCGCGUGAGGGAUGACGGCCUGGUGUAAC
RNAcentral lists this ribosomal RNA (394 nucleotides) under uncultured bacterium. RNAcentral describes it as "bacterial SSU rRNA". It matches the Rfam family "Bacterial small subunit ribosomal RNA", at positions 28 to 429 of the family's 1533-position model. The record is from RNAcentral.